GACCCCGAUCCCCAUCAAUUGGUAUCAGAGCCUAGUUUUUAUUUAGAAAGGAAGCGUGGUGGGCCCAUAACCCACAGGUCCCUGGAUCAAAACCUGGCUCUGAUACCAUUGAUGGGGAUCGGGGUC
RNAcentral lists this microRNA precursor (126 nucleotides) under Prunus dulcis (almond). RNAcentral's name for it is "sRNA ncRNA". The record is from RNAcentral. Lineage: Eukaryota; Viridiplantae; Streptophyta; Magnoliopsida; Rosales; Rosaceae.